This 72-nucleotide transfer RNA is filed under the name Diaphorina citri (Asian citrus psyllid). It matches the Rfam family "tRNA". From Rfam's summary of the family: Transfer RNA (tRNA) molecules are approximately 80 nucleotides in length. The record is from Rfam by way of RNAcentral. Lineage: Eukaryota; Metazoa; Arthropoda; Insecta; Hemiptera; Psyllidae.
GCUCCCAUGGCGUAGUGGUCACUGCGCUCGCCUUGCACGCGGGAGACCCGGGUUCGAUUCCCGGCGGAGAUA